RNAcentral lists this RNase P RNA (362 nucleotides) under Deltaproteobacteria bacterium. RNAcentral describes it as "RNase P RNA component class A". It matches the Rfam family "Bacterial RNase P class A". Rfam says of the family: Ribonuclease P (RNase P) is a ubiquitous endoribonuclease, found in archaea, bacteria and eukarya as well as chloroplasts and mitochondria. The record is from RNAcentral. Lineage: Bacteria; Pseudomonadati; Myxococcota; Myxococcia.
GAAGUCGGCGAGGUGAUCGCCGGUGCCUUCGGGCACGGGAGGAAAGUCCGAGCUCCACAGGGCUAGGUGCUGGCUAACGGCCAGUCGGGGUGACUCGAAGGAAAGUGCCACAGAAAGCAAACCGCCUGGCUUCGGCCAGGUAAGGGUGAAAGGGUGCGGUAAGAGCGCACCGCCCGUCUGGUGACAGACGGGGCACGGUAAACCCCACCUGGAGCAAGACCAGAUAGGUGUCGCGCGGCCCGCGUCAUGACACCGGGUUGGUUGCUCGAGCCCGCCAGCAAUGACGGGCCUAGACGAAUGAUCACCGCCGGCAGAGGGCAACCAGAGCCGGCACAGAACUCGGCUUACUGCCGACUUCGACG